Molecule: ribosomal RNA, 494 nt
Filed under: uncultured bacterium
Lineage: Bacteria
Description: partial 16S ribosomal RNA
Rfam family: Bacterial small subunit ribosomal RNA
Source: RNAcentral
GACGAACGCUGGCGGCGUGCUUAACACAUGCAAGUCGAACGGUGAAGCGCCUUCCUUUUUGGUGGGUGUGGAUGAGUGGCGAACGGGUGAGUAACACGUGAGUAACCUGCCCCCUUCUUCUGGAUAACCGCAUGAAAGUGUGGCUAAUACGGGAUAUUCUGGGUCUGUCGCAUGAUGGGUCUGGGAAAGAUAUUGUUUCGGUGGGGGAUGGGCUCGCGGCCUAUCAGCUUGUUGGUGGGGUGAUGGCCUACCAAGGCGGUGACGGGUAGCCGGCCUGGGAGGGUGGACGGUCACACUGGGAAUGAGACACGGCCCAGACUGCUACGGGAGGCAGCAGGGGGGAAUACUGGACAAUGGGCGCAAGGCUGAUGCAGCGACGCCGCGUGAGGGAUGGAGGCCUGCGGGUUGUGAACAGCUUUCGCUAGUGAAGCAGGCCUGCCUCGUCUGUGGGUGGGUUGACGGUAGCUGGAGAAGAAGCGCCGGCUAACUACGUG